Molecule: ribosomal RNA, 517 nt
Filed under: Nostoc sp. B(2019)
Lineage: Bacteria; Bacillati; Cyanobacteriota; Cyanophyceae; Nostocales; Nostocaceae
Description: partial 23S ribosomal RNA
Rfam family: Bacterial large subunit ribosomal RNA
Source: RNAcentral
GUGGUCAAGCUAAUAAGGGCUAACGGUGGAUACCUAGGCACACAGAGGCGAUGAAGGACGUGGUUACCGACGAUAUGCUCCGGGGAGUUGGAAGCAAACUUUGAGCCGGAGAUUUCCGAAUGGGGCAACCCUAUAUACUACCUGCUGAAUAUAUAGGCAGGAGAGAGCCAACCCAGCGAACUGAAACAUCUUAGUAGCUGGAGGAAGAGAAAUCAAUUAAGAGAUUCCCUAAGUAGUGGUGAGCGAACGGGGAAGAGCCUAAACCAAAGGGUUUACCUUUUGGGGUAGUGGGACAGCGAGAUCGAAUCUGGAGGUUAGAUGAAGCAGCUAAAUACUGCACCAAAGAAGGUGAAAGUCCUGUAGUCGAAAACUUAAGGAUAGUAGCUGAAUCCCGAGUAGCAUGGGGCACGAGGAAUCCCAUGUGAAUCAGCGAGGACCACCUCGUAAGGCUAAAUACUACUGUGUGACCGAUAGUGAACCAUUACCGCGAUGGAAAGGUGAAAAGAACCCCGGAAGG